UACAGAGGUCUCAAGCGUUGUUCGGAUUCAUUGGGCGUAAAGGGUGCGUAGGCGGCGUGGUAAGUCGGAUGUGAAAUCUCGGAGCUUAACUCCGAAACUGCAUUCGAUACUGCCGUGCUUGAGGACUGGAGAGGAGACUGGAAUUUACGGUGUAGCGGUGAAAUGCGUAGAUAUCAAGAGGAACACCUGAGGUGAAGACGGGUUGCUGGGCUGACACUGACGCUGAGGCGCGAAAGCCAGGGGAGCAAACGGG
RNAcentral lists this ribosomal RNA (253 nucleotides) under uncultured bacterium. Its description in RNAcentral is "partial 16S ribosomal RNA". It matches the Rfam family "Bacterial small subunit ribosomal RNA", at positions 524 to 776 of the family's 1533-position model. The record is from RNAcentral.